AGCGGGACCCUGCGGCUCGGGAUGGAGGCUGGACACCUGUUCUGCUGUUGUGUCUUGCCAUUCUCCUGAAGAACAGAGGCACACUGUAAAACCCAACACUUCCCCUUGCAUUCUAUGAGAUUACAGCAAGAUGGAAAUACCAAAUCCCCCUACCUCCAAAUGUAUCACUUACUGGAAAAGAAAAGUGAAAUCUGAAUACAUGCGACUUCGACAACUUAAACGGCUUCAGGCAAAUAUGGGUGCAAAGGCUUUGUAUGUGGCAAAUUUUGCAAAGGUUCAAGAAAAAACUCAGAUCCUCAAUGAAGAAUGGAAGAAGCUUCGUGUCCAACCUGUUCAGUCAAUGAAGCCUGUGAGUGGACACCCUUUUCUCAAAAAGUGUACCAUAGAGAGCAUUUUCCCGGGAUUUGCAAGCCAACAUAUGUUAAUGAGGUCACUGAACACAGUUGCAUUGGUUCCCAUCAUGUAUUCCUGGUCCCCUCUCCAACAGAACUUUAUGAGAUGAUCCCUGGAUCCGUUCUGAUUAGUGAUGCUGUUUUUCUGGAGUUGGUCGAUGCCCUGAAUCAGUACUCAGAUGAGGAGGAGGAAGGGCACAAUGACACCUCAGAUGGAAAGCAGGAUGACAGCAAAGAAGAUCUGCCAGUAACAAGAAAGAGAAAGCGACAUGCUAUUGAAGGCAACAAAAAGAGUUCCAAGAAACAGUUCCCAAAUGACAUGAUCUUCAGUGCAAUUGCCUCAAUGUUCCCUGAGAAUGGUGUCCCAGAUGACAUGAAGGAGAGGUAUCGAGAGCUAACAGAGAUGUCAGACCCCAAUGCACUUCCCCCUCAGUGCACACCCAACAUCGAUGGCCCCAAUGCCAAGUCUGUGCAGCGGGAGCAAUCUCUGCACUCCUUCCACACACUUUUUUGCCGGCGCUGCUUUAAAUACGACUGCUUCCUUCACCCUUUUCAUGCCACCCCUAAUGUAUAUAAACGCAAGAAUAAAGAAAUCAAGAUUGAACCAGAACCAUGUGGCACAGACUGCUUCCUUUUGCUGGAAGGAGCAAAGGAGUAUGCCAUGCUCCACAACCCCCGCUCCAAGUGCUCUGGUCGUCGCCGGAGAAGGCACCACAUAGUCAGUGCUUCCUGCUCCAAUGCCUCAGCCUCUGCUGUGGCUGAGACUAAAGAAGGAGACAGUGACAGGGACACAGGCAAUGACUGGGCCUCCAGUUCUUCAGAGGCUAACUCUCGCUGUCAGACUCCCACAAAACAGAAGGCUAGUCCAGCCCCACCUCAACUCUGCGUAGUGGAAGCACCCUCGGAGCCUGUGGAAUGGACUGGGGCUGAAGAAUCUCUUUUUCGAGUCUUCCAUGGCACCUACUUCAACAACUUCUGUUCAAUAGCCAGGCUUCUGGGGACCAAGACGUGCAAGCAGGUCUUUCAGUUUGCAGUCAAAGAAUCACUUAUCCUGAAGCUGCCAACAGAUGAGCUCAUGAACCCCUCACAGAAGAAGAAAAGAAAGCACAGAUUGUGGGCUGCACACUGCAGGAAGAUUCAGCUGAAGAAAGAUAACUCUUCCACACAAGUGUACAACUACCAACCCUGCGACCACCCAGACCGCCCCUGUGACAGCACCUGCCCCUGCAUCAUGACUCAGAAUUUCUGUGAGAAGUUCUGCCAGUGCAACCCAGACUGUCAGAAUCGUUUCCCUGGCUGUCGCUGUAAGACCCAGUGCAAUACCAAGCAAUGUCCUUGCUAUCUGGCAGUGCGAGAAUGUGACCCUGACCUGUGUCUCACCUGUGGGGCCUCAGAGCACUGGGACUGCAAGGUGGUUUCCUGUAAAAACUGCAGCAUCCAGCGUGGCCUUAAGAAGCACCUGCUGCUGGCCCCCUCUGAUGUCGCCGGAUGGGGCACCUUCAUAAAGGAGUCUGUGCAGAAGAACGAAUUCAUUUCUGAAUACUGUGGUGAGCUCAUCUCUCAGGAUGAGGCUGAUCGACGCGGAAAGGUCUAUGACAAAUACAUGUCCAGCUUCCUCUUCAACCUCAAUAAUGAUUUUGUAGUGGAUGCUACUCGGAAAGGAAACAAAAUUCGAUUUGCAAAUCAUUCAGUGAAUCCCAACUGUUAUGCCAAAGGUGAGUCCCAGUAACCUGGGAGGUGGGGUGGGGGAUGGAUGCCUCUUUACUGUGAUUUCCAUUCGUUGUUGAACCUUUUCCUUAGCUCAGCUAUUUUUUGUCCAAAGAUAAUCAUGAUUAAUAUCUGGUAUCAUUUUAGGCCCCUCUCAAUCUUAGUUUUGUAAUCUGCUUUUUUCAGCGAAUACAUUAUAAACACUUUCCCACAAACAUGAUUUAACCAGCCUGAGCAACAUAGUGAGACCCAUCUCACAAAAAAAUAAUAGGCUGGGUGUGGUGGCUUA
Molecule: small RNA, 2388 nt
Filed under: Pan troglodytes (chimpanzee)
Lineage: Eukaryota; Metazoa; Chordata; Mammalia; Primates; Hominidae
Description: retained intron
Source: RNAcentral